RNAcentral lists this ribosomal RNA (465 nucleotides) under Streptomycetaceae bacterium 'ARUP UnID 645'. RNAcentral's name for it is "bacterial SSU rRNA". It matches the Rfam family "Bacterial small subunit ribosomal RNA", at positions 27 to 506 of the family's 1533-position model. Lineage: Bacteria; Bacillati; Actinomycetota; Actinomycetes; Kitasatosporales; Streptomycetaceae. The record is from RNAcentral.
GGACGAACGCUGGCGGCGUGCUUAACACAUGCAAGUCGAACGAUGAACCGCCUUCGGGUGGGGAUUAGUGGCGAACGGGUGAGUAACACGUGGGCAAUCUGCCCUGCACUCUGGGACAAGCCCUGGAAACGGGGUCUAAUACCGGAUACUGACCUGCCGAGGCAUCUCGGCGGGUCGAAAGCUCCGGCGGUGCAGGAUGAGCCCGCGGCCUAUCAGCUUGUUGGUGAGGUAAUGGCUCACCAAGGCGACGACGGGUAGCCGGCCUGAGAGGGCGACCGGCCACACUGGGACUGAGACACGGCCCAGACUCCUACGGGAGGCAGCAGUGGGGAAUAUUGCACAAUGGGCGCAAGCCUGAUGCAGCGACGCCGCGUGAGGGAUGACGGCCUUCGGGUUGUAAACCUCUUUCAGCAGGGAAGAAGCGAGAGUGACGGUACCUGCAGAAGAAGCGCCGGCUAACUACGU